AACGAACGCUGGCGGCGUGGAUAAGACAUGCAAGUCGAACGGGACUAAAUCUGUAGCAAUACAGGUUUAGUUUAGUGGCGAACGGGUGCGUAACACGUGGGCAAUCUGCCGAGAAGUGGGGGAUAGCUCGCCGAAAGGCGAAUUAAUACCGCAUAUGAUCAGCUAAGACAUCUUAGCGACAUCAAAGCCGGGGAUCGAAAGACCUGGCGCUUCUUGAUGAGCCCGCGGCCUAUCAGCUAGUUGGUGAGGUAACGGCUCACCAAGGCUAUGACGGGUAGCUGGUCUGAGAGGACGACCAGUCACACUGGAACUGAGACACGGUCCAGACACC
RNAcentral lists this ribosomal RNA (331 nucleotides) under uncultured bacterium. RNAcentral describes it as "bacterial SSU rRNA". It matches the Rfam family "Bacterial small subunit ribosomal RNA", at positions 29 to 339 of the family's 1533-position model. The record is from RNAcentral.